GUCUUCUGCAGAGUUUUGGAGAACGCUGGCCUGGAUGACCCAGUGGAAACUGUAGUGUAACUAAUGACCGGCCCACUGGACGUUUUAAUUGCUGCCUCAUUUCUGCUGGAGCCUGGCUUAUGCUGCAUCUGAGAUAUUUAUAAUCUGAACAUGCUGGAGUUAUGACAUCAUCCGGCACUGCUGACUAUGACAAGCGUUUGGGGAAGCAUGCAAACCGUUCUGUCAUGGGGACAAUGGGUUGUCAGAAGACUUGCAAGAUGGAGAAACUCCUGAAACAGUCGCAGUGGGAAGUAGCAUGGAGCCAGAGACAACGGUCUGGCACAGCAAAGAAGAACAGCCGGAUUAGAGGCACAGAUAAGCUGAGACAUGAAGUGUUACACCUCCAGCUCCCAGGUGUGCAGCAUUUGGACAGCUUUCUAAAGGACAACAGUAGAGCUCUGAGACUCAACCCUGAGACCCUGAGCCACCAAAGACAAAAGCAGAAGUUACUGGAGACUGAGAUCAGCACCAGAAGAAAGGAGUGUGAAGCACUUGAAGCAGAGGUGAAGAAAAAGAACCAAACAUGUCAGACUUUGGAGAAUGAGCUUGAAGAUUUCCUCCAGGAGAACAAACAUUUGAACCUCCAGUUGUUCAACAAUAGCCACAAGACAUCUGAGUAUGAAAAGGUGAAGUUUGAGUAUGCCCAGCUCAAAGAGACCCUUGGUGCUGUGACGCAGGAGAGAGAUUUAGCCCUGUGGGAGAGGAACCAGCUCCAAGGCAAACUGGAGAACCUAGAGCAGGUGCUCAAGCAUAUGCGCGAGGCUGCAGAGCGGAGGCAGCAGCUAGAGUUGGAGCAUGAGCAGGCCUUGGCUGUACUCAAUGCCAAGCAGCAGGAGAUUGAAGUUCUUCAGAAGGCUCAGGUUGAGGCAAAAAAGGAACAUGAAGGCGCAGUCCAUCUGUUAGAGAACCACUUGGACAGCAUGCAGGCCAAGGUCCGCGAGCUGGAGGAAAAAUGUCGGUCUCAGAGUGAGCAGUUCAACCUCCUUUCAAAAGAGCUGGAGAAGUUCCGGCUCCAGGCUGGGAAGUUUGAUAUCCUCAGCACUGAACCCCUAACUCUAUGUGAAUCUCCUGGGUCGCCCAACAAAUCCCUCUCACAGCUCCUUAAUGGACUGGCUGCCCCCAUAGGAAAAGGCAAUGAGGCUCCAACAAGCAGAUCUUUGAUAUCUGAGUUCAUUCGACCACUCCAGAUCAGUGGAGACAAGCCUGAGCUCCUCUCUGUCAAGCCAACAUUCCUCACUCGUGGCCGAGUCAGCAGCCCAGCACGGGCUUCCCACUCGGAGAUGGACAAAGAGCUCAGCUCAACUACCAGGUCUAAACUAAGGUUUACGGGAAAGGUUCGUCUGUGUCUUGCUCGGUACAGUUACAAUCCUUACGAUGGCCCUAAUGAGCAUCCUGAGGCAGAGCUCCCCCUGGUGGCAGGGAAGUACCUCUACGUUUACGGGACGAUGGAUGAGGAUGGCUUUUAUGAAGGAGAGCUGCUAGAUGGACAGCGGGGACUCGUCCCAUCCAAUUUUGUGGAAUUUGUCCAAGAUGCGGAGACACCCUCUGCCAAACACAGGGACACAGUGGCUAAAGAACCUGGCUACCUCAACCACAGUAGCCUGGAGCCUCAGAGACUGAAAUUCGGCACAGGAAUGGGAACGAGCAUAAGCAGCCUGCUAUCGGACAGUAAACUAGACUGUCUAAGCACCAGCAGCUUGGGCAUGGACCUCCUGGGCUCCUCCAGCAAUGGGACAGGAACCUUGGAUGUCAGCACUGACGAGGUUGGUGAAGACAUUGUGCCUUACCCCCGCCGCAUCAACCUGAUUAAACAACUGGCCAAGAGUGUGAUUAUUGGCUGGGAUCCUCCUGUGGUCCCACCGGGCUGGGGCUCCAUCAGUGGCUACAAUGUCUUGGUGGAUAAGGAGGUGCACAUGAGUGUCCCCUACGGGGGCAGGACAAAGUCUCUUCUUGAAAAGCUCAAUCUGGCCACCAACACCUACCGUAUCUCAGUGCAGAGCAUUACCGACCGGGGCCCGUCGGACGAGCUCCGGUGCACUCUGCUCGUGGGAAAGGAUGUGGUGGUGGCACCUUACUACCUGCGGGUGGACAGCAUCACGCAGGUCUCUGCUGAGCUCUCUUGGAUGCCCAGCAACAGCAACUACAGUCACACCAUCUUCCUCAAUGGUGCAGAGUACGACAUGGUCAAGGCGGGGGGCUAUAAGUACAAGUUCUUCAACCUGAAGUCCAUGACAGUUUACAAGGUGAAGGUUGUGGCGCAGCCGCAUCAGGUGCCUUGGCAGCUUCCGAUGGGUCAAAGGGACAAGAGGGAAAUCUCUGUGGAGUUCUGCACUCAGCCUACAGUGUGUGUGUUGUGCUCCUUAGGGCCCCCUCUUCCGCCCCAGGAGGUGCAGGUCCAGUGUGGUCAGACGCCGGGGGUCCUGCAGGUCAGAUGGAAGCCGCCACCUCUGACUUCUUCAGGAACCUCCAACGGUGCCAGUGUGAUUGGCUAUGCCGUGUGCACAAAGGGACAAAAGAUAGCAGAGGUAUUAUACCCCACAGCAGACUAUACGACUGUGGAGUUAAACAGGAUCCAGUGUCUGGAGGCCAGGGAACUCAUUGUAAGGACGUUAUCAACACAAGGAGAGUCCCAGGACUCGCCCGUGGCCAUCAUCCCGCACAAUCUCUUGGGCUCUCCACGCCUCUCCCACCGAACCAUUGCACCUUCCCACACUAUGGUGCUCCCGCAGUCCCAUCCGGUACACUCACAAACCCAGCCUCCUUAUCCGUCAACGUAUCCCCUGAAUCAUCCUCAGCCCCAGGUGCAGCCUCUGCCUCGAACCCAGCCCCACACGCUGCCCCACGCACAGCCGCACUCGCAGCCCCUCUGCCAACCCCCUUCUCAUUCCCAGCCUCAUUUCCAGUGCCACCCCAUGCCCAAGUCCAAACCGUUAGUAAGUGCCAGAGAGCCCGAAACCAAAGAGCACGAGGUGGGAUUGCGGACAGCCCAGCCCUGGGAGCGAUCCCCAUCUCCGCUGCCUCCCAUGCGUGGACCCAACCUGGAGCCGCCGCACUUCCACCCACGGCGAUCUCCCUCUCCUCAGAGGAUUCUGCCACAGCCUCAGGGAGUCCCCAUCCCCAACACCAUCGCCAAGGCCAUGGCCAGGGAAGCUGCCCAGAGAGUGUUUGCCGAGGGAAAUCAGUUUGAGAAAAGGAACAUCUUUAGUGAGCGAGGUAACGCCUCGCAUCCACUCAACUCUGACGAGGAGGAGGAUGGCUACGACUCUCCUCAUGCGAGGAGAAGAGGAGCCUCGGUGGAUGAAUUCCUCAGAGGCUCAGAGUUGGGCAGACAGCACCAUCAUCCCCACUACAGCCACAGUGAGGAGUACCACACGGAGAGUAGCCGGGGUUCGGACCUGUCCGACAUAAUGGAAGAGGACGAGGAAGAUCUUUACUCUGAGAUGCAACUGGAAGAGGGUCGUAGGCGCAGUAUCAACUCUCACAACACUCUUAAGGCAUAUUACAAGCGUCAGGACUUAGCCGAGGAAAGAGACUGCUGGGACCUCCAAAGGGAGGUGGUGAAGCAGAAGUCGCUCCGCAGCAAGCGUCUCCACAGCAUCCCCGAGGUGGCCGAGGAAGAUUCGGACUGCGUGGACAGCAUGGGCCAGCGCCUGUGUUUCGAAGAGGGCGGCCGGCCGGGAACGCCGCACACUCAGCGGAGAAUGUACCCCCAGGACACCCACAUGCACAACCAUCACACCCCUGGCAAGAGCUCCCGCUACCUGCAGCGUCAGCGCUCCUCCCCUCGCUUCACUGAUAGCCGCUACUGCUACAACGCAGACGACCGCAGCUUGGUACGACCCAACCGCCAGAGCACCAAGAGUCCCGACAGUGGUUUAGACUGUGGCAGUGAGGAAGAAGGCUCUCUAGGUCGGGGUUAUCGAGGGUACUAUACUCACGGAAGCCCCAUGCGGGGGCCCGUGCAGGUCAUUCACUGUGAAGGCCCGGUAGAAAGGCGGGCGCUGGCUAUGGGCCGUAAAAGAACUCUGACCCGCCAGUGCAGUAUAGAGGAGGAGUUCUCUGAAAUCCCAGGGACUGCAACCAAGUCGGUACACACAGGUGACUUUAGGAACAGGGAGCACUUUGGGCCUGGUCGGGAGGCUGGUCAGCGAAACUACCCCAGGGAAGGGGCCCUGAGCGAGGGCAGGCUCAACGAGCUGGACAGGGUCUAUUACAGCCCCCACAGGGAGGCUAGGGUCCAGUCUUUGUCCAGGCUCAACCGGGACCAGCCGCUGAUCAUUGGGAACUCAGCAUCACAUGGAAGCGCUGAUCGCCUGGAGCACUCAGGGAGGAGGCCGGUUCACAGUGGCAACCCCCCUCAGCAACGGCCCAUCCCAUCCAUUGAGAUCACCAUGGACAGUAACAGUGAGGGGAGUGAGGGGAACCUCUCACCCGUCAAGGAGGAUGUUUACUAUGGCAGUGUAGCUCGGCGCAGGAUAUGGCUAUCUAUGUCCUCAGAGGAUCAAUAUGAAGGCUAUGGCGGUCGCAGGCACGGGCGGGGACGGCGCUCCCCGGAGUACUACGAGGAGUCUGAGCCGGAGGAGAUGACCCGUGUGUUCGUGGCUCUGUUCGACUAUGACCCCAUGUCCAUGUCUCCCAACCCCGACGCUGCUGACGAGGAGCUGCCAUUCAAGGAGGGCCAGAUCAUUAAGGUCUUUGGGAAUAAAGACACAGAUGGCUUCUACAGGGCGGAGGUCCGAGAGCGCGUGGGUCUGAUCCCCUGUAACAUGGUCUCUGAGAUCCAAACAGAGGAUGACGCCAUGAUGGACCAGCUCCUCAAACAGGGCUUCCUACCACUCAACACUCCUGUGGAGAAGUUAGUGAACUGUGACCGUUUCAAAGAUGGCCGCUCAAUAAAUCGCAGGUCCAGAAAGUCCAAGAGAGAGAGGAACAGGCGGAGUGGCCGCCAGCACCCAAUGUCUACACGGAGGAUGGUGGCUCUGUACGACUAUGACCCCCGAGAGAGCUCCCCUAACGUUGAUGUAGAGUAUGAGGGCAACAGACUGAAUGAGGAGGCUGAACUGACUUUCUGUGCCGGUGACGUCAUCACAGUUUUUGGUGAAAUAGAUGAAGAUGGCUUUUACUAUGGCGAGCUCAAUGGACACAAAGGACUUGUUCCUUCCAACUUUCUAGAAGAAGUGCCUGAUGAUGUAGAGGUUUUUCUCACUGACUCACCAUCUCGAUACCCCCAGGACACUCCUGCACGGAUAAAGACCAAAAGGAAGAAGAGUGUUCAUUUCACACCUUAAAGGCUCUGUUUCCGUCACGUAAGUGAGCAACUGAGGAUACCAAGAUUACGCUCCCCUCGUCUAAUGCAGAUGACAUGGGUACCCUUAGCUUCUGGUGCCAUUGGAAAAAUCGGGUCCGCCCAGAAGAGCAGGCUCUCCCACAGUGCGUCCACACAUCCCUGGCCGUCUCAUCAGGGCCCCACCGGACAUGUACUCCUCCAAAAGGAAAAAGGGACUGCUCUCCAAAGGGAAGACACUAUUGCAAAGACUCGGCGCUGUAAAAUAAUUUGACAUACUUGGAAAGGGUCAACCACUUCCUUGUAAUGUUAAAAGCUAAAAAAAAAUUAAACAUAACACAGUGGGCAGGUGGCCUUUGUGAGCUUAGCAAAUGCUUUAUAUUCUUGUACAUCUGUUGUUGACUAGAAUAUUUGUAUUUUGUUAACAGUAUCAACUACAUAUUUUCAAUAACGCUUCAUUUUAGGAUCCCGCAACCUCGUGGCAUCUUACCGCCAAGUCUCUGACUGAUGUUUUGCUGUAGACGGAGACAAGGCCCGGGGCAUUCUUCCUGUUGCACCUGAUCAAGUCUGAUGGCACUUAGAACACCACAUAGGGAGUGUGACCAGUGUGUCUGUGUACAGAAUGUCAUUCAAACACUGAGGGAUCAUCAGAAAAACCGUGGGAGUCCAUUUUGAAUCUGAAGAAAAAGACAGGGCCUGGUAAAGACGUCAAACAGCCUGCCAGCCACAUAAACUGUACAAGAGGUUUGCAUGCUUUACUUCAGCCCAUUCCCUCCCGACCCCUUGAGAGUGCAUGCAAUGUGACGGCUCGGUAUGGAACCUGGAGCAUGCAGCACUUUAAUACGAUGUGGCUGACUGGCUGCGCAGUAAACUGUAGUGUAACACAUCAGCAGCAUUAACUCCUACGCCCUAUCUUAAUUGUGAGAAACAAGACGAGCCCCCCCCCCCCCGACAUGCCGGACACCUAAAAAUCCAAGCACAUACUGUACCUACUACAGGGUCUCUGCAUUAAAAAUCAGCCUGAAUGGAAAUAGAUUCAGCCUCUAUGUACUUGCCUUAUAAUCGCACAAUGGUUAGUACUUUACCCAGUAGACCGUGCAGUUCCAUGCCUACUAUUCAUUUGUCAGUAAAAUCUGUUUGCAGAUGUUAAUCCUGACUUGUGAUGUGCGAUGUGUGUGACUGUCCGUGAUUUCAAUAGGACAAGAGCUUACACAUUACAGUCCAAGGCUUCUGGUGUUGACAAUGUCAAUCAAUAGUAAAGCCCAAGAAAUUAUUUUCAAUCAUAGAAAACAAUGAA
RNA transcript from Etheostoma cragini (Arkansas darter), 6620 nucleotides. It is a transcript of the gene named RIMS binding protein 2, with no coding region annotated. The record is from RefSeq and is a predicted model, not a curated record. NCBI's taxonomy places the organism in Eukaryota, Metazoa, Chordata, Actinopteri, Perciformes, Percidae. The transcript is spliced from 31 exons.